This 253-nucleotide ribosomal RNA is filed under the name uncultured bacterium. RNAcentral's name for it is "partial 16S ribosomal RNA". It matches the Rfam family "Bacterial small subunit ribosomal RNA", at positions 524 to 776 of the family's 1533-position model. The record is from RNAcentral.
UACGUAGGGUGCAAGCGUUAAUCGGAAUUACUGGGCGUAAAGCGUGCGCAGGCGGUUUUGUAAGUCUGUCGUGAAAGCCCCGGGCUCAACCUGGGAACUGCAUUGGAAACUAACGGGCUCGAGUGUGGCAGAGGGGGGUGGAAUUCCACGUGUAGCAGUGAAAUGCGUAGAGAUGUGGAGGAACACCGAUGGCGAAGGCAGCCCCCUGGGCUAACACUGACGCUCAGGCACGAAAGCGUGGGGAGCAAACAGG